RNA transcript from Rhea pennata, 3834 nucleotides. It is a transcript of the gene named 7-methylguanosine phosphate-specific 5'-nucleotidase, with no coding region annotated. The transcript is spliced from 3 exons. The record is from RefSeq and is a predicted model, not a curated record. Lineage: Eukaryota; Metazoa; Chordata; Aves; Rheiformes; Rheidae.
AUGUCGGACAAGAUGGCGGCGGCCUCCCCGCAGCCGCAGCCGGGGCCCGGGCCGCCGCCGGGGGAGGCGGAGAGCGGCGGCCCGCGCGGCGGCGGCGGCGGCGGGGCGGACGGAGAGGCGGAGGCGGAGGAGUUUGGGUGUCCGGCGCACUGCGCGGACCUGGCGUGGCGGCAGAACGAGCAGCGCCGCCACGGCCUCUACUGCGACAUCACUUUAGCCUUCGGCGGCGGGCGGCCCGGGGCGGCCCGCGAGUACCGGGCGCACCGCUCCGUCCUGGCCGCCGCUACCGAGUACUUCACGCCGCUGCUGUCCGGGGGCUUCGCCGAGUCGCGCUCGGGCCGCGUGGAGCUGCAGAAGUGGAGCUCGGAGGGCGGCCCCGACCCCGACACGGUGGAGGCCGUCGUGGGCUUCAUGUACACCGGCACCAUCCGCGUCAGCCCCGGCAACGUCCACGAGGUGCUGGAGAUGGCCGACAGGUUCCUGCUGACCCGGUUAAAAGAGUUCUGUGGAGAGUUUCUGAAGAAGAAGCUCAAUCUCUCCAACUGCGUGGCAGUUCAUAGCUUAGCCCAUAUGUAUUCCUUGAACCAGCUGGCCCUCAAAGCUCAGGACAUGAUCCGGAGAAACUUCCACAGAGUGAUCCAAGAUGAGGAGUUCUACACUCUGCCAUUCCACCUCAUCAGGGACUGGCUCUCAGACUCGGAGAUCACAGUGGACUCUGAAGAAAUCCUCUUUGAGACAGUCUUGAAGUGGGUUCAGAAGAAUCCUGACGAAAGAGAGAGGUACUUCGAAGAUCUCUUUAAAUUGCUUAGGUUGUCGCAGAUGAAACCCACUUACCUUACUCGUCACGUCAAAUCCGAAAGGCUGGUCUCCAGUAACGAAGCCUGUGUCAAGCUAGUGUCUGAAGCAGUGGAAAGUCAUGCCUUGCGGUCUGAGAACAUGCAGCCUGGUAAUCUACAACAUUCCACUUAUCCUCUAACAUCGUUGCCACGCUUUGGGCAAAAUAUGGACGUCAUUAUGGUGAUUGGUGGUGUAUCAGAGGGAGGAGAUUACUUGAGCGAGUGUGUAGGAUAUUUCAUUGAUGAAGAUAGGUGGGUGAACUUGCCACACAUACACAAUCAUCUUGAUGGGCAUGCAGUUGCUGUGACAGAAUCUUACGUUUACGUGGCUGGCUCCAUGGAACCAGGAUUUGCCAAGACUGUUGAAAGGUACAAUCCAAACAGAAAUAUUUGGGAGCAAGUCUCAAAUUUAAUAACCAGAAAGCAUUCUUUCGGCCUUACUGAAGUUAAAGGGAACUUGUACAGUAUUGGUGGACAUGGUAAUUUCAGUCCUGGCUUUAAAGAUGUAGCCAUUUAUAAUCCUGAGCAAGACAAAUGGCUUAACCUGGAAUCAGCACCAAAGAUUCUUCGUGAUGUCAAAGCUGUUUCUGUAGAAGAUCGGUUUGUUUAUGUUGCUGCUCGUACCCCAGUUGACAGUGAUAGUGAAGAUGGAUUGAGGGCUGUUAUUAUCAGAUAUGAUGUUGAAACAAGGCAAUGGCAAGAUGUGGAGUCUCUGCCACUUAUUGAUAACUACUGCUCUUUCCAGAUGUCUGUUGCUAACACUAACUUUUACCAUACAGCAUCCUGCUGCCCCAAGAGUUACCCUAUUGAUAAUGAAGAAGCUAAGAUAAAGAUUUCUGGCAGGGCCUCAGAUGAAAUACUUGAAAGUUUACCUCCAGAAGUUCUUAGCAUUGAAGGGGCAGCUAUCUGUUACUAUAAAGAUGAUGUUUUCAUCAUUGGGGGGUGGAAGAACAGUGAUGAUAUUGACAAGCAAUACAGGAAAGAGGCAUAUCGUUACUGUGCUGAGAGAAAGCGCUGGAUGCUUUUGCCUCCUAUGCCUCAGCCUCGCUGUAGAGCAACAGCCUGCCAUGUGAGAAUUCCUUUCAGAUGCUUGCAGGGAACACAAAGAUAUCCUAUGCCACAAAAUCUGAUGUGGCAAAAAGAUAGAAUAAGACAAAUGCAGGAAAGACAGAUGCAGGAAAUACACAGACAUUCUCUAAGCUUACGAAGAAUGCCGCGCUCUCAGAUUGAGUGCUAGUUUCUGGAAUGUCACUCCUGAUUAGUCUGGUUUAUCAAAUACUGUACUAAGCCAUUUUUUAAGGCUUGAUAUGUUUCUAUAAGAUAUUAGAAUUUGGGUUUGAUGCAUAAAAAUAGCAUCUCUAUUAAAAGAAGCUCAGAAGUUGAGGAUGGAUAGGAGUUGGGAAACCCUGUGAAUCCAAAUAUAUUACCUAUCAUGUCCAGGGAAAGGCUUGUUUCCUGUUAAUGGGCUGUGAAAUAUCUCUAGGAACAUUAAAUCUGUUAGUUCUCUCUUCAGAUCUUUGUUUUCAAAGGUUUAUGUAGAGUUAGACUAACAGUUCUUUUUUGAAAAUCAAAAAUCUCUUAAUAAUUUAGUGGUUACAUUUGAGUGUGUGCUGAAAGCACCUGUUUUAUUUGCACUUACAUAUUGACAUUCCUUUGAUUCUCUCAGUGGCUAAACUUCACAUGUAAUUGGUGUUAGUGCACUUAGCUUUCCCACGUUGGAAGCAUGUGCAAUGGUUAAAUACCUGUUUGUGAAAACAAAAGCACAAUCUUUCUUUAAAAAACUACUUCAGAAUGUUUCUAUAUAUAUUAAAUAUUUUGUAUCAGUAUAGUGUAGAAAGGCUGCAGAGUUUGCUUAUAAACGGUUGGUAGAACAUCACUUGCUAAAAUCGAGAACUUGCAAUAGGUUUUUUCCAGGUGUAUCUGAAGAUGCUUUGAGUUUGUCUUUGACAGCUUCAUUAUAAACUUGGUCAACAAUCAGCCUGAUAAAAAGAGUGAAAACAGCAAAGUAGCCACCUGUCAAAGUAGACUGUUCACUUCUAAAGUCAAAGAGGAUUAAUAAGAAUGGGAUUAUUUCAUAGUAAUAUAUUAAAACCCAAGCAACUUGUAGAUCUUUUCUCAAAUGUUGCACUUCUUUAAUUCUAGUGAAAACAUGAUAAAAAGAACCCCCAUGAACCUGUUUCCCGCCUGUGUUCGACAAUCAAUACUUUUUGUCUUCAGUAUAUUUUCCCUCAAAACUUACAAUAGCUGUACCACAGCAUUUAUUGCUUCUCUUGAAGGGAGAUAGUUGGCUCUUGAUGUACUGAUGAUGAUAAGAUUUUUAAGAGGCAUCUAAAUUUUCACAGUCUCUAAAUGUUUGUGUUUCCCCACUUGGUGUAGUUGUAGGAUUUAAGCUGAUUGUGAUAAAAUGGAGCUAUUUAUACACCUUCAGGAGUUUUUAGGUGAUUUUAUAUAAAUUGGUGCCCUGAUUGGCUCUGGUUUGCUUACUGUAAUACUCCCAAGGAACAGCGUGGUGAGUCUUUCCUUUAGAGUAUCACUGCCUCUGUUAGCUGUCCCACUGAACACUCCUCCUCCCUGGUCUGAAAAGCACCAGGAGGCUUUGAUUACUUGUAGAUUCAGUGCUUCCUUCCUACCUCCUUUUCUUCCCCAUCCUUCCCUCUAUUUGAAUGUUCAGGUUUUCACUUGCAGCCUAACUCAGGAUCUUAGGGAAGGGAAAGGGAGGAAUAACCAGGGUGUUCCAAUAUCUGUGUAGAUAAACAUUGUUGAAAAAGCUGUUUACUGUCUUUGGUUCUUGUGGUAAUUUGCUGGGGUCUUUAAUGUGGGCAACUUCUUUGCAGCAGAACUUCUAAACAUUUUUUUUAAUGGUGUAGCUUUCUGAACUGAUACUUCUCAUUUUUCAAUUCAGCAGGCAACCUAGAUCAUAUCUGAAACAAUGGGUCCAUGUCACUGGAUCACGGCAGCUGUACUCUCCUGUCAAUAUUAAUGUAGACUUCAACAGAUU